RNAcentral lists this ribosomal RNA (425 nucleotides) under uncultured Bacteroidota bacterium. RNAcentral describes it as "bacterial SSU rRNA". It matches the Rfam family "Bacterial small subunit ribosomal RNA", at positions 548 to 975 of the family's 1533-position model. The record is from RNAcentral. Lineage: Bacteria; Pseudomonadati; Bacteroidota.
GAUUUAUUGGGUUUAAAGGGUGCGUAGGCGGCCAUUUAAGUCAGCGGUGAAAUUUUGCAGCUUAACUGUAACAGUGCCGUUGAUACUGUUUGGCUAGGAUUUGGUUGUAGUGUGCGGAAUGUGUGGUGUAGCGGUGAAAUGCUUAGAUAUCACACAGAACACCGAUUGCGAAGGCAGCACACUAAGUCAAUAUUGACGCUGAGGCACGAAAGUGUGGGGAUCAAACAGGAUUAGAUACCCUGGUAGUCCACACUGUAAACGAUGAUAACUCGCUGCCGGCGAUACAUUGUUGGUGGCCAAGCGAAAGCAUUAAGUUAUCCACCUGGGGAGUACGACCGCAAGGUUGAAACUCAAAGGAAUUGACGGGGGCCCGCACAAGCGGAGGAACAUGUGGUUUAAUUCGAUGAUACGCGAGGAACCUUACC